Long non-coding RNA from Anas platyrhynchos (mallard), 3615 nucleotides. RefSeq lists it as uncharacterized. The record is from RefSeq and is a predicted model, not a curated record. NCBI's taxonomy places the organism in Eukaryota, Metazoa, Chordata, Aves, Anseriformes, Anatidae.
GUAAACAUGUCAGUGAAAGAAAUGAAUAAUGUGGUAGGGAGGAAAUUGUUUGCAGGAAAAUAAUUACCUGCAUGUGGACUAGAUAUCAAAGGAGGGCAAAGUGACAGGAACGAGGGCGACUGAUAGGCUGCAGCAAAAUGUACCUGCAGGGAAAGUUGAGCCAGCAGGGCAGGCCGAGUGGGGAAAUGAGCCCUGGAAACUUUGGAAAUAACAACUGGGUCAUCACCCAACACCACGGCUGCCUCGGAGCCGGGAGAGAGCAAGGUGUUGCUGAGGAGGACAAUUUGAAAGGAAAUGAGGCUAAAAUUAGGAACAGAAGAAUCUUAAGGUACUGAAGAUAUUGACUUACCAGCCGCAGAGCUUUCUGCAACCACCUGUAGGCUGGAAAAAAAAAAAGCUCUGCAGACAGUUUCAACAGAAACCGAGCACAUGCAACUGUUCCUGGAACCAGCAGUCGUGUUUGGGGGAGAAGAAAACCCUCGCUGCGAAGCAAAGAAGUUUUAAGCUGCUACCAGCUCGUGGUUUGAGGACUCGUAGCAGGAUGGAGACUUCCCUGGUACUGCUGGAGGAGCAGCAGCUCAGGCUGCCAGGAGGAGCUGGAAACAUUCCCAGUUUAAUUCUACAGCAAUAAGCACGAAUCCUGCCGCAACAAAUACCUGUGAUUUUAUCACUUGUGCGCUUGCUACAUCGAUACAGCUAAAGAGGAGCCGAAUUUUACCCGUGCUAUAUUGACACAUUUUUCUUUGACACCAGAUCUGGUUUCAUAAGGCAGGAAAGGUUUGCCCCAAGUUUCCAAGUCCUGGACCAACAGUGUUUGGUAGAAAGAGGUAAGAAUUCUCAGACCCCAUCAGGAUCCUGAAGGAAGCACAGGGAAGCCUUGCACGAGGGCUGCUGGCCAAGGAGAAGGAACGCAGGUGCUGAGAGGAGGCUCACAGUGGGUUAUCCCCUGCCCACGAGGGUUUUUCCUUGUUAUAGAGAGCUCUCAGCUCAGUUUGCUAUUCAUUCGGAGAGCUCCGGACUGCAGCAUCUGCUGUUUUCGUCAUGUGAUGGCAGCAAAGCGUUACCCAAAGCACUCUUCCUUCCCACUUAAAGGAAAGAGCCAAAAACCUGUGUGAAAAUCAGGUUAUUUUCAGGAAGAUGGGGCGUUUACUUUCUCCUCUAGGUUUAGAGGGGCUAAAGAGCAGUGAAGAAAGCAACCUGGAAACCUUUAUCCUUCAAAACCAAUCAGCCUGCUGCACUUCGGUUCCUUGCAUGGACGUUUUAAUGGAGCAUUUUGAUGGAUGAGGAAAUAAUCCUUUACGUGGCAUUUUCAGACGUCUUGUAGCUUGGGUCAGUAACUUCUGUGCCAAUAAUUCUGGGCUUAUUUCAGACGGAGAGAAAGCUGGCAAUCCAUGUCCUCGGCAGCUCUAAGCAACGCACAGCUCACUGUGCAUCGUACUCCAGUACAAGGGAGUGAAGCGGUGAAGCAAAGUGGAGCAGUGGUAAAGGUAAUUACUAUCCCAAAUCAUCAGCUGUGGAAGAAAGCCUCCAACUCAGGCUGCACGAUCCCAGCAGCAGCACUAGCCUGGGGACAAGUGGGAAUGUCGUCUCCGUUGGCGAAGUCAACCUGUCAUCCCUGCUCCAGUGUCACCUAUUUUCCACUUCAUCAGGGAACCAGGGCGCCUUGCUCACAGCUGUAGGGUGUCUGGAGCACAUUCUUGGACAUCCGUAACUGAAUUAAUGCAAAUAAAUCAAGCAUAAAUAAUCAUCUGGGGGAGAUGGAGACCUUCCACUGCUGAGAUUCUCUUAGGACAAACUUGCAUGCGUGAACCAAGCAAAGGGACAGCCCAGACUUUGAUCUCUCGUGCACUGGUGUAAAUCUGGAGUGAAAACCAGAUGAGGAUGCUGCUGACACUGCCACCAGCGUGAUGCUGAAACCUGGUCCUUGGCCUCUGUGCAGGUCCAUCGCUACCACACCAAGAGGUCACCCCAAAGGGAAGCCCUCCGAAGAGAUGGCAGCUGCGUACCAGGGAAGUUUGGGUAGACACAAAGAGGCCUGGCAUCUUUAGAAAGACGGUCACUUUUUUUUUCCAGCCUUACUUAGGAACCCCCAGGUCCCAAAUCACCUUCGUUUCCAGCCCUGGGGUCCUCACCGGGGUGGGACGGCGGCUCUCACUGGUAGUGCAGCAGCUCUUCCCAGCGGAUGGGCUGGGAGAACACCUCCCGCUCCAGCCACAGCUCGUAGGAGCAGUGGAAAUCCUCGGGGAGCUCCAACCUCUGGCCCAACACGCUCUGCAGGCAGUUGUCCACCGGCGCAAACUCCGAGUCCUGGGGCUUGUCGUACCUCCGGCUGUUGAAGGCUUCGAUGUUGGCUCUCAGGGUGCACUCUUCAGCCUGGAAGUCCCACGGUCUGGCAUCGAUAUCUAGGUUCAAGAAGAAACAAGACCAUGGUGGUGUCGUGGAGAAAAUGACUCUGGUAUGGCUUGAGCAAAAGAAAGGAUGGAGAAUUUACAGCAGUCGUGUGCCUGAACUAAAAACAGUAUUAUAUUAGCCAGUUGGUUAUUCCUAAUUCUACGGUAAUUAUUAUUCACAACCAGUUGCUGCUAUGCAUGCAUUUAUUUUAAGGUAUUUAAAUGAAAUAUAUUAAAAUCACUUGUAAAUUCAGCAGAGUCUGAAAACUUCAUACAGAAAUGCAUUUAUUUCUGGCCUUCAGCAUGCUUUAAGGACUCCGUCCCAUUACAAAGCUCCUGCUUUUUUUGGAAAGGCCCCACCACUUUUACCAAAAACCUCCACGGAUGUCUUGAGACAGAGAUCAAGACUGAAAGCUUAUAGCUAAAACCUCACAAAUUUAUUCAAAGCUACUGAAAACAAAGGCUUUUAAAUCUGGGGCGAGGUUGGGAAGCUAGCAGCUGACUAAUAACCACAAUAUUUUAAAUGUGUAUUAUUACGUAAAUAUGUAACAUUUCCAAAAAAUUAGCAUUUCAAAAUUUGGUCUUUACGAGCUCUAAACCUAUAUGAACCAGCCAGUCGCUCCACAAAGGGUCAGCAAACUCAUUGGCAAGGUCUCAGCAGUGCUGAGGAGAGGGAGAAGUCCAAGCUGCGUCUCAAUCCAGAUACACCAAGCUAAAAAUAAACCCUCGGGGAAAAACCCUUCCGGAUCUCAUCUCGGAAAGCCAAGUGCUGGCACGGCAAGGCGGCCAGGUCAAGAAGCAGCCCCUGCUGAGUACUGAAUUAUGCGAUCGCGGGCAUAAAGAAGCCCUGCUGCUGCCUUCAGCCCUGCAGGGAAGAUGAGUGAGCUGAGCAAGGCAGCGAGGCGAGAGAAAUCCCCGUGAAGGAAAGGGAGUCCCCAGCCUUCCCCAGCCCUCCGGCUCUUUGGGCAUCUGGGGAACUCCAGCCUUAAAAUUAAAAAUAGCGAGUCUAGUUUUGAUUCUUCCGAAUCGGUGGCACAGCGGUAUCACAGCUCUCCAAAGCACACCCGUCUUUGAAAAACAAAUUAUAUCUUUCACAGUGGAAAUUAACACCCUAAUUAUAAUGCCUCUCUCCCCUGGAAGGAAGGCUUUGUGUUAGGCUUUCACUUCUUGCCCUUUCUCCUUUUGAAACAGGGAUGCUACCCAGUUUUUCUGUUUAAUCCUCUUU